AGUGAACGCUGGCGGUAGGCCUAACACAUGCAAGUCGAACGGCAGCACAGUAAGAGCUUGCUCUUACGGGUGGCGAGUGGCGGACGGGUGCGGAAUACAUCGGAAUCUACUUUUUCGUGGGGGAUAACGUAGGGAAACUUACGCUAAUACCGCAUACGACCUACGGGUGAAAGCAGGGGAUCUUCGGCCCUCGCGCGAUUGAAUGAGCCGAUGUCGGAUUAGCUAGUUGGCGGGGUAAAGGCCCACCAAGGCGACGAUCCGUAGCUGGUCUGAGAGGAUGAUCAGCCACACUGGAACUGAGACACGGUCCAGACUCCUACGGGAGGCAGCAGUGGGGAAUAUUGGACAAUGGGCGCAAGCCUGAUCCAGCCAUACCGCGUGUGUGAAGAAGGCCUUCGGGUUGUAAAGCCCUUUUGUUGGGAAAGAAAAGCAGCAGGUUAAUACCCCGCUGUUCUGACGGUACCCAAAGAAUAAGCACCGGCUAACUUCGUG
RNAcentral lists this ribosomal RNA (492 nucleotides) under uncultured bacterium. Its description in RNAcentral is "partial 16S ribosomal RNA". It matches the Rfam family "Bacterial small subunit ribosomal RNA", at positions 29 to 507 of the family's 1533-position model. The record is from RNAcentral.